This 425-nucleotide ribosomal RNA is filed under the name uncultured bacterium. RNAcentral describes it as "bacterial SSU rRNA". It matches the Rfam family "Bacterial small subunit ribosomal RNA", at positions 359 to 776 of the family's 1533-position model. The record is from RNAcentral.
GAAUUUUGCGCGAUGGGGGAAACCCUGACGCAGCAACGCCGCGUGGGUGAUGAAGCAUCUUGGUGUGUAAAGCCCUGUCAACGGGGACUAAGGUAUGGCGUUGAAUAGACGUUGUGCUUGAAUGUACCUGUGGAGGAAGCCCCGGCUAACUCUGUGCCAGCAGCCGCGGUAAUCCAGAGGGGGCAAGCGUUAUUCGGAAUUAUUGGGCGUAAAGGGCGCGUAGGCGGCUUGGUCAGUGGAAAGUGAAAGCCCUCGGCUUAACCGAGGAACUGCUUACCAUACUGCUAAGCUAGAGGAUGGGAGAGGAGAGUGGAAUUCCCGGUGUAGCGGUGAAAUGCGUAGAGAUCGGGAGGAACACCAGUGGCGAAGGCGGCUCUCUGGACCAUUACUGACGCUGAGGCGCGAAAGCGUGGGGAGCAAACAGG